Molecule: ribosomal RNA, 468 nt
Filed under: uncultured bacterium
Lineage: Bacteria
Description: partial 16S ribosomal RNA
Rfam family: Bacterial small subunit ribosomal RNA
Source: RNAcentral
GACGAACGCUGGCGGCGUGCUUAACACAUGCAAGUCGAACGGAAAGGCCCUGCUUUUGUGGGGUGCUCGAGUGGCGAACGGGUGAGUAACACGUGAGUAACCUGCCCUUGACUUUGGGAUAACUUCAGGAAACUGGGGCUAAUACCGGAUAGGAGCUCCUGCUGCAUGGUGGGGGUUGGAAAGUUUCGGCGGUUGGGGAUGGACUCGCGGCUUAUCAGCUUGUUGGUGGGGUAGUGGCUUACCAAGGCUUUGACGGGUAGCCGGCCUGAGAGGGUGACCGGCCACAUUGGGACUGAGAGACGGAGCAGACUCGUACGGGAGGCAGCAGUGGGGAAUAUUGCACAGUGGGCGGAAGCGUGAGACAGCAACGCCGGGUGCGGGAUGCCGGGCUUCGGGUUGUAAACCGCUUUCGCCUGUGACGAAGCGGGAGUGACGGUAAUGAGUAAAGAAGCACCGGCUAACUACGUG